This 253-nucleotide ribosomal RNA is filed under the name uncultured bacterium. RNAcentral describes it as "partial 16S ribosomal RNA". It matches the Rfam family "Bacterial small subunit ribosomal RNA", at positions 524 to 776 of the family's 1533-position model. The record is from RNAcentral.
UACAGAGGGUGCAAGCGUUAAUCGGAUUUACUGGGCGUAAAGCGUGCGUAGGUGGUCUGUUAAGUCAGGCGUGAAAUCCUCGGGCUCAACCCGAGAACUGCGUUUGAUACUGAUAGACUCGAGUGUGGUAGAGGAUAGUGGAAUUCCCGGUGUAGCGGUGAAAUGCGUAGAUAUCGGGAGGAACAUCAGUGGCGAAGGCGGCUAUCUGGACCAACACUGACACUGAGGUACGAAAGCGUGGGUAGCAAACAGG